AUACGAAGGGUGCAAGCGUUAAUCGGAAUUGCUGGGCGUAAAGCGCGCGUAGGCGGUUGGAUAAGUCGGAUGUGAAAGCCCCGGGCUCAACCUGGGAACUGCAUUCGAAACUGUCCGGCUAGAGUAUGGUAGAGGGAAGCGGAAUUCCACAUGUAGCGGUGAAAUGCGUAGAUAUGUGGAGGAACACUAGUGGCGAAGGCGGCUUCCUGGACCAAUACUGACGCUGAGGUGCGAAAGCGUGGGGAGCAAACAGGAUUAGAAACCCUAGUAGUCC
This 274-nucleotide ribosomal RNA is filed under the name uncultured bacterium. RNAcentral's name for it is "partial 16S ribosomal RNA". It matches the Rfam family "Bacterial small subunit ribosomal RNA", at positions 523 to 796 of the family's 1533-position model. The record is from RNAcentral.